UAAGUAUAAGCAAUUAUACAGCGAAACUGCGAAUGGCUCAUUAUAUAAGGUAUCGUUUAUUUGAUAGUACCUUACUACUUGGAUAACCGUGGUAAUUCUAGAGCUAAUACAUGCUAAAAACCCCGACUUCGGGAGGGGUGUAUUUAUUAGAUUAAAAACCAAUGCCCUUCGGGGCUCAAUGGUGAUUCAUGAUAACUUCUCGAAUCGCACGGCCUUGCGCCGGCGAUGGUUCAUUCAAAUUUCUUCCCUAUCAACUUUCGAUGUUUGGGUAUUGGCCAAACAUGGUUGCAACGGGUAACGGAGGGUUAGGGCUCGACCCCGGAGAAGGAGCCUGAGAAACGGCUACUACAUCCAAGGAAGGCAGCAGGCGCGCAAAUUACCCAAUCCCGACACGGGGAGUAGUGACAAUAAAUACUGAUACAGGGCUCUUUAGGGUCUUGUAAUCGGAAUGAGUACAAUUUAAAUCCCUUAAUAAUUCAGCUCCAAUAGCGUAUAUUAAAGUUGUUGUGGUUAAAAAGCUCGUAGUUGAACCUUGGGCCUGGCUGGCCGGUCCGCCUCACCGCGUGUACUGGUCCGGCCGGGCCUUUCCCUCUGUGGAACCCCAUGCCCUUCACUGGGUGUGGCGGGGAAACAGGACUUUUACUUUGAAAAAAUUAGAGUGCUCCAGGCAGGCCUAUGCUCGAAUACAUUAGCAUGGAAUAAUAAAAUAGGACGUGCGGUUCUAUUUUGUUGGUUUCUAGGACCGCCGUAAUGAUUAAUAGGGGACAGUCGGGGGCAUCAGUAUUCAAUUGUCAGAGGUGAAAUUCUUGGAUUUAUUGAAGACUAACUACUGCGAAAGCAUUUGCCAAGGAUGUUUUCAUUAAUCAGGAACGAAAGUUAGGGGAUCGAAGACGAUCAGAUACCGUCGUAGUCUUAACCAUAAACUAUGCCGACUAGGGAUCGGACGGUGUUAUUUUU
This 957-nucleotide ribosomal RNA is filed under the name Scopinella solani. Its description in RNAcentral is "SSU rRNA". It matches the Rfam family "Eukaryotic small subunit ribosomal RNA", at positions 60 to 1070 of the family's 1831-position model. The record is from RNAcentral. Lineage: Eukaryota; Fungi; Ascomycota; Sordariomycetes; Coronophorales; Ceratostomataceae.